RNAcentral lists this small nuclear RNA (102 nucleotides) under Meriones unguiculatus (Mongolian gerbil). The record is from RNAcentral. Lineage: Eukaryota; Metazoa; Chordata; Mammalia; Rodentia; Muridae.
GCGCUCGCCUCAGCAGCACAUAACUAAAAUUGGAACAAUACAGGAAGAGCAUGGCCCCUGCGUAAGGAUGACAUGCAAAUUCAUGAAGCGUUCCAUAUUUUU